RNAcentral lists this ribosomal RNA (749 nucleotides) under Paenibacillus sp. NAS9(3). Its description in RNAcentral is "bacterial SSU rRNA". It matches the Rfam family "Bacterial small subunit ribosomal RNA", at positions 48 to 777 of the family's 1533-position model. Lineage: Bacteria; Bacillati; Bacillota; Bacilli; Caryophanales; Paenibacillaceae. The record is from RNAcentral.
GCUAUACAUGCAAGUCGAGCGGAGUUGAAGAGAUGCUUGCAUCUCUGAUACUUAGCGGCGGACGGGUGAGUAACACGUGGGUAACCUGCCUGUAAGACUGGGAUAACAUUCGGAAACGAAUGCUAAUACCGGAUACGCGAUUUGGUCGCAUGAUCGAAUCGGGAAAGAUGGAGCAAUCUAUCACUUACAGAUGGACCCGCGGCGCAUUAGCUAGUUGGUGAGGUAACGGCUCACCAAGGCGACGAUGCGUAGCCGACCUGAGAGGGUGAUCGGCCACACUGGGACUGAGACACGGCCCAGACUCCUACGGGAGGCAGCAGUAGGGAAUCUUCCGCAAUGGACGAAAGUCUGACGGAGCAACGCCGCGUGAGUGAUGAAGGUUUUCGGAUCGUAAAGCUCUGUUGCCAGGGAAGAAUGCUUGGGAGAGUAACUGCUCCCAAGGUGACGGUACCUGAGAAGAAAGCCCCGGCUAACUACGUGCCAGCAGCCGCGGUAAUACGUAGGGGGCAAGCGUUGUCCGGAAUUAUUGGGCGUAAAGCGCGCGCAGGCGGCCUUGUAAGUCUGUUGUUUAAACUUGGGGCUCAACCCCAAGUCGCAAUGGAAACUGCAAAGCUUGAGUACAGAAGAGGAAAGUGGAAUUCCACGUGUAGCGGUGAAAUGCGUAGAGAUGUGGAGGAACACCAGUGGCGAAGGCGACUUUCUGGGCUGUAACUGACGCUGAGGCGCGAAAGCGUGGGGAGCAAACAGGA